CCUACGGGAGGCAGCAGUGAGGAAUAUUGGUCAAUGGACGCAAGUCUGAACCAGCCAUGCCGCGUGCAGGAAGACGGCUCUAUGAGUUGUAAACUGCUUUUGUACGAGGGUAAACGCAGAUACGCGUAUCUGUCUGAAAGUAUCGUACGAAUAAGGAUCGGCUAACUCCGUGCCAGCCGCCGCGGUAAUACGGAGGAUUCAAGCGUUGUCCGGAUUUAUUGGGUUUAAGGGGUGCGUAGGCGGUCGGAUAAGUUAGAGGUGAAAUCCCGAGGCUCAACUUCGGCAUUGCCUCUGAUACUGUUGGGUUAGAGAGUAGUAGCGGUAGGCGGAAUGUAUGGUGUAGCGGUGAAAUGCUUAGAGAUCAUAAAGAACACCGAUUGCGAAGGCAGCUUACCAAGCUACUUCUGACGUUGAGGCACGAAAGCGUGGGGAGCAAACAGGAUUAGAUACCCGUGUAGUC
This 460-nucleotide ribosomal RNA is filed under the name uncultured bacterium. RNAcentral describes it as "partial 16S ribosomal RNA". It matches the Rfam family "Bacterial small subunit ribosomal RNA", at positions 338 to 795 of the family's 1533-position model. The record is from RNAcentral.